Molecule: long non-coding RNA, 341 nt
Filed under: Bos taurus (domestic cattle)
Lineage: Eukaryota; Metazoa; Chordata; Mammalia; Artiodactyla; Bovidae
Description: long non-coding RNA NONBTAT012784
Source: RNAcentral
GUUGGAGGGAAUGGAAUCAACCCAACUCCAUUUGGCUCCUUGCUGAACUAAAGACAUCAGAGUUUUAAAUAUCACUGGGCAGUUGAUACAGUAGAAAAACACACACACACACCAAAUCUCAUAUAAGGAUUCAAGUAUAGGGGCUAUCUGAACAAACUGGUUUUCUAUAUAAUCAUUUAAGGAAUGUUUGGUUUUAUAUAUAGAAUCAGCUAGGACAAGGAUUUUAUUUAGUUGUAUUACAUGUAAAUGAUUUACGAUUGGAAAUUUCCAGUUCUUACCACUCCCCAUCUUUCUAGAAGAUUAUACCAAUGAACUCUGAGGUGUAAGGGAAUCUUGCAAGC